GAGAGUUACACACGUUGCGUCGAUCGAACAUCACUUUAACGACGCCACGUGAAAAUGGUGCGGAACCCGAUGCUUUUGUGCACGUGAAUCAGAGCCUGUAAUUUCACGAAUCGGGUGUCCUACAUGCAUACGAUCGUAUAUAUAUAUAUGCGUAUAUCGUAUGCGCGUAAAGGAAGAUAAAGGGAAAGAAAAAAGAUAGAAAAAGGAAUUAUCGCGGAAGAGAUUCGUUUAAAUCGAGUCCGAUUGGAAUUCGUCCGAUGAUUAAAGCGACGCGGAAAACGAUUGGCGACGAAGGUGCUGCGUGUCAGUUUUCAGAACUGGCUGGAGAAUAGCAGAUGAUAUACACCGACCUGCCAUACUUUCCAGUUCUCACGAAACCCUAAUGCGCUAAUCGAUAUAAUCGAUAAGGGGUAUUUGAAAGAGAAUCACCAGAGGAUACGAAGGGUCAAAUAAAUUUUAUCAAUUACAAACAUUAUUAUUGAUUCAAAUUCACGUCGCGGCGAGCGAGUAAGUAUCAUUGAUUAAUAUCGUCCACCUUGAGAAACGAGAUUGAUCGUCGUUAUUAUUAAUUCAAAAUUCAUUACAUGCUAAUAUUCUGGUCUAUUACGUAUGUUGUCGUUUAUAACGAUACUGGUGUGGUCUCGUAAGAGACACGACAAACAUCAUCGCCAUUUAACGUAAUUAUUUCAACACAUUCAACACAUUCGUAUAUAUAAUGCUCAUUUUAUAAUUGAUCGAACAUUUUAUUCGUGUGUAUACGGUGUUUAUUAUUUAUUACACUGUAUUAUUUAAAUUUUAUUUUCUUUGGUAAACCCCUAAUAACAUUUGUGAAUCGCGCUUUAAAUGAAAACGAAAAGCGAAAGGUAUAACGGUAGAAAAUUAAAUACGUAACCAGCUUAUGAAAAUGGAAACUAGAAAGAACGAUUGACACUUACCAGCAAUCCGUAAGACGGCUCUGUCAGCAGGAUCGAGCUGCAGGAUACUCAACGGUUUAUCCUUUACCCAUUCCUUCAAGCUUCCGUCCAGCUCGAACUCCAUCCUCUAAAACUGUUGAUUGAAACUUCUUUUUUUUUUUUUACACCAUAUUCGUGCAACUCUUCUUUUGCUCGGCACUGUUUCACAACCACUUGGCAAUUUCACAACCGCGACACACAAAGAGCUUCUAAGUAUUACGUCGUUUUCGUUCAAUAGAGUUCGCGAGGCAGUGGCGAAUAGUGCACCGAACUAAGUCGUCGUGUUAUCGACAGCAGGCAUUUGGCAACUUUACACACAAUAUUAGACACGACAUCCUCGUUACCGGUCUCUUCCUCCCUGAUUUAGAUUUCACUAAUGAUGUUUUCUUUCUCUUCUUUUCUCUACUUCGAAAUUAAUAGUUUUAUAGUCGAAAAUAGUUUCAGCCGAACGAAAAGCACGUGGAACCCGUAUACAUGCCGCGCGUUUAUUUAUUGUACACGACUCUGCUGUAGGGUAGAGUAACGUACCACGGCGUAGAAGUGCACGAACUGCACCGGCGUAACGGAAGGAAGAGAGGUGGCAAGGAGACGACGAACAGGGAAAGCGUACGCGAUGUCUGGCGUCCUUUUGACGAUACACGCCAAUACGUACAACAGUUGCUUAGCCAGCAACGUAACGUGCUUCCAGCACGCCGAUAAUCAGCAAUACUUCGUAUCUUUGUCGUCAGCGGCGCUUAGGUCAAGUUAGAUUUGGUUGAAAAUGGACAAAUCAGAUUCGACUUCUCUCAAUUGCAGUCUUCAAUUCCCGUUGUUGCUUGUAUAUUUUGUGCCACAAAUCGAAGAUUUUUCAAUAUUUCAUUCGUCAAAAUUCCUUAAGUUUAAUUCCACCCUCAUUAUCCUCGAUACUAUCUUCCAUUUGCAACAUUCUAUAAAUAUAAAUAUAAACAACAUAUUCUUAAUUUUUUCUUUUUUCUUUCCUAAAAAAUAAAAUAAUUAUAAAUUGUACAAAAAUAAUUGGUUUUUGAAAUAAUUGAAAUAACUAAAAGACUGAAAAACAAAAACGUGUUCGAAGGAGACGAAAGAAAAAUUGCAUAAAUAUUUUAGUCGCAUAAAUAUUAAAUCGAAUUAUUGUGGAGAAAGUAAUAUUUCUUGUUAUAUAGCGCUUUCUAAAUAUGUUCAGAAUAUGAUUAAAUUUCAUUUAGUAGUCAAAUGUUAAUUGUAAUAAUAAUGUAACAAUAUUAUUCUUAAUUUAAAUGCGUUUUAAAUGCAAAUAUCACAGUGCAAAAAAUAAAUCAAGAGAGAUCUGAUACAAAGAACCGGAAGCGGAUGUGGCAACAUUCAAGUCGAACUAAUUCUCUGGCAACGUUAAAAAAUUGAAAUGUAAAUUCUUCGAUAUAUAAAUCGUUUUAUUUCUUUAUACAUAUCUCUGCUAAAAUUAAAGAAAUAUCUAUA
Long non-coding RNA from Apis cerana (Asiatic honeybee), 2405 nucleotides. RefSeq lists it as uncharacterized. NCBI's taxonomy places the organism in Eukaryota, Metazoa, Arthropoda, Insecta, Hymenoptera, Apidae. The record is from RefSeq and is a predicted model, not a curated record.